Non-coding RNA from Rhodocollybia butyracea, 98 nucleotides. The record is from the annotation of a GenBank genome assembly. Lineage: Eukaryota; Fungi; Basidiomycota; Agaricomycetes; Agaricales; Omphalotaceae.
GGCCGACUAGCUCAGUUGGUUAGAGCGUCGUGCUAAUAUCAAUGGCUGCAAGCCACUGAUUAACGCGAAGGUCUUGGGUUCGAUCCCCACGUUGGCCA